This 533-nucleotide ribosomal RNA is filed under the name uncultured bacterium. Its description in RNAcentral is "partial 16S ribosomal RNA". It matches the Rfam family "Bacterial small subunit ribosomal RNA", at positions 355 to 883 of the family's 1533-position model. The record is from RNAcentral.
UGGGGAAUUUUGGACAAUGGGCGAAAGCCUGAUCCAGCAAUGCCGCGUGUGUGAAGAAGGCCUUCGGGUUGUAAAGCACUUUUGUCCGGAAAGAAAUCCUUGGCUCUAAUACAGUCGGGGGAUGACGGUACCGGAAGAAUAAGCACCGGCUAACUACGUGCCAGCAGCCGCGGUAAUACGUAGGGUGCAAGCGUUAAUCGGAAUUACUGGGCGUAAAGCGUGCGCAGGCGGUUUGCUAAGACCGAUGUGAAAUCCCCGGGCUCAACCUGGGAACUGCAUUGGUGACUGGCAGGCUAGAGUAUGGCAGAGGGGGGUAGAAUUCCACGUGUAGCAGUGAAAUGCGUAGAGAUGUGGAGGAAUACCGAUGGCGAAGGCAGCCCCCUGGGCCAAUACUGACGCUCAUGCACGAAAGCGUGGGGAGCAAACAGGAUUAGAUACCCUGGUAGUCCACGCCCAAACGAUGUCAACUAGUUGUUGGGGAUUCAUUUCCUUAGUAACGUGCUAACGCGUGAAGUUGACCGCCUGGGGAGUAC